GACGAACGCUGGCGGCGUGCUUAACACAUGCAAGUCGAACGGAAAGGCCCUGCUUUUGUGGGGUUCUCGAGUGGCGAACGGGUGAGUAACACGUGAGUAACCUGCCCUUGACUUUGGGAUAACUUCAGGAAACUGGGGCUAAUACCGGAUAGGAGCUCCUGCUGCAUGGUGGGGGUUGGAAAGUUUCGGCGGUUGGGGAUGGACUCGCGGCUUAUCAGCUUGUUGGUGGGGUAGUGGCUUACCAAGGCUUUGACGGGUAGCCGGCCUGAGAGGGUGACCGGCCACAUUGGGACUGAGAGACGGCCCAGACUCCUACGGGAGGCAGCAGUGGGGAAUAUUGCACAAUGGGCGGAAGCCUGAUGCAGCAACGCCGCGUGCGGGAUGACGUCCUUCGGGUUGUAAACCGCUUUCGCCUGUGACGAAGCGUGAGUGACGGUAAUGGGUAAAGAAGCACCGGCUAACUACGUG
This 468-nucleotide ribosomal RNA is filed under the name uncultured bacterium. Its description in RNAcentral is "partial 16S ribosomal RNA". It matches the Rfam family "Bacterial small subunit ribosomal RNA", at positions 28 to 507 of the family's 1533-position model. The record is from RNAcentral.